UAACAAAUCACUUGUAUGAUAGAAAAAUUGAAAGAUGCAUAUCUGCAGAUAAUAGUGUUUUUAUGUGGUGCAUUUAGCCUUGUUAUUUCAUCUCAGUUCUUAAUAAAUCAUUUAUUUGUUUCCACACGAGAAAAACCUCAUUUUCGCCAGACAAGUCAUUUUAAAGUAUUGCUAAUUUAAAGGAACAUUUUUUUAUCCCUAGUAUUUAAUUAGUAAUGAAGAAUUUAAGGCAGCAUAUUCAACAGUGAAAAGAUAAGAGACUGAUUAUACUGUUUUGCAUUAGAAAACUUUAAGGAUGUCAUAUUCCUUCCAUCUUUUCAGGUCCUGUUCGUCGUCUAUUAUUAAGUGUUCAGUUUUGACAUCUGGUUCCUGUGGAAUCUGCUGACUGUCAUGUUGCCACCUUCAAAUUCUUUAUUCUGAGUUUCUGAAGAAUGUUUAAAUAUUCCAUCUCCAUGUUCAUGCUGUAGCUUGUAAUUACAUUGUAUUAAACUUGGCUGUUCUUAUGUUGACACAAAAAUUAUUUAUAGUUCUGUGAUGAGACAUGAAAAUACGUUUUUCAAUUUCAAUAAGCUUUCAAUCAAUUUUUGCAUAUAUCCAUGCUGUAAAAAAAUCCCAUCUGCCUAAAUAUAUAAAAAGGCAUUUGGAAAAUAUAUUUUUCAUAAAUGUAAGAAACGGUUAUUUGCUAAAUGUGUCUUUAAAAAACAGUUUUUUUGUUUUAUUUGUUUAAAGUGCCAAAUGAAAACAUGAUUUUUCAAUUUCAAGGACACCCACUGGCUUUCUGUGUCCAUUAACACUUAUGUACCAAAGCAGAAUCUCAUAUUUAUCAUAUAAUUCAUGUUUUGUUUGGAAGUGUUUAUGCAAAUCAACAUUAUGAGAAAUGGGAGCCUAAAUUUUUUUUGAAAUUUAUGGAGAUAGCAUUUCUUUUAUAAUGCAACUUUAGAAUAAAAAAGAAUCUGUAAAA
Stegodyphus dumicola is the source of this 961-nucleotide long non-coding RNA. RefSeq lists it as uncharacterized. The record is from RefSeq and is a predicted model, not a curated record. NCBI's taxonomy places the organism in Eukaryota, Metazoa, Arthropoda, Arachnida, Araneae, Eresidae.